AGUGAACGCUGGCGGUAGGCCUAACACAUGCAAGUCGAACGGCAGCACAGUAAGAGCUUGCUCUUACGGGUGGCGAGUGGCGGACGGGUGAGGAAUACAUCGGAAUCUACUUUUUCGUGGGGGAUAACGGAGGGAAACUUACGCUAAUACCGCAUACGACCUACGGGUGAAAGCAGGAGAUCUUCGGACCUUGCGCGAUUGAAUGAGCCGAUGUCGGAUUAGCUAGUUGGCGGGGUAAAGGCCCACCAAGGCGACGAUCCGUAGCUGGUCUGAGAGGAUGAUCAGCCACACUGGAACUGAGACACGGUCCAGACUCCUACGGGAGGCAGCAGUGGGGAAUAUUGGACAAUGGGCGCAAGCCUGAUCCAGCCAUACCGCGUGAGUGAAGAAGGCCUUCGGGUUGUAAAGCCCUUUUGUUGGGAAAGAAAAGCAGCAGGUUAAUACCCCGCUGUUCUGACGGUACCCAAAGAAUAAGCACCGGCUAACUUCGUG
This 492-nucleotide ribosomal RNA is filed under the name uncultured bacterium. RNAcentral describes it as "partial 16S ribosomal RNA". It matches the Rfam family "Bacterial small subunit ribosomal RNA", at positions 29 to 507 of the family's 1533-position model. The record is from RNAcentral.